GACGAACGCUGGCGGCGUGCUUAACACAUGCAAGUCGAACGGAAAGACCCUGCUUUUGUGGGGUGCUCGAGUGGCGAACGGGUGAGUAACACGUGAGUAACCUGCCUUUGACUUUGGGAUAACUUCAGGAAACUGGGGCUAAUACCGGAUAGGAGCUCCUGCUGCAUGGUGGGGGUUGGAAAGUUUCGGCGGUUGGGGAUGGACUCGCGGCUUAUCAGCUUGUUGGUGGGGUAGUGGCUUACCAAGGCUUUGACGGGUAGCCGGCCUGAGAGGGUGACCGGCCACAUGGGGACUGAGAUACGGCCCGGACUCCUACGGGAGGGAGGAGUGGGGAAUAUUGCACAAUGGGCGGAAGCCUGAGGGAGCAACGCGCGUGCGGGAUGACGGCCUUCGGGUUGUAAACCGCUUUCGCCUGUGACGAAGCGUGAGUGACGGUAAUGGGUAAAGAAGCACCGGCUAACUACGUG
Molecule: ribosomal RNA, 467 nt
Filed under: uncultured bacterium
Lineage: Bacteria
Description: partial 16S ribosomal RNA
Rfam family: Bacterial small subunit ribosomal RNA
Source: RNAcentral